Molecule: ribosomal RNA, 253 nt
Filed under: uncultured bacterium
Lineage: Bacteria
Description: partial 16S ribosomal RNA
Rfam family: Bacterial small subunit ribosomal RNA
Source: RNAcentral
AACGUAGGAGACAAACGUUAUCCGGAGUUACUGGGCGUAAAGGGCGUGUAGGUGGUUUCGUAAGUCUGGCGUGAAAUUUCCCGGCUUAACCGGGAGUGGUCGUGGGAUACUGCGGGACUAGAGGACGGUAGAGGCGUGUGGAAUUCCGGGUGUAGUGGUGAAAUGCGUAGAGAUCCGGAGGAACACCAGUGGCGAAGGCGACACGCUGGGCCGUACCUGACACUGAUGCGCGACAGCAUGGGGAGCAAACAGG